GACGAACGCUGGCGGCGUGCUUAACACAUGCAAGUCGAACGAUGAAGCGGGUGCUUGCACUCGUGGAUUAGUGGCGAACGGGCGAGUAACACGUGAGUAACCUGUCCUUUUCUUUGGGAUAACGGCUGGAAACGGCUGCUAAUACUGGAUAUUCAGGCUGCAUCGCAUGGUGUGGUUUGGAAAGGUUUUUUCUGGGAUUGGGUGGGCUCGCGGCCUAUCAGCUUGUUGGUGGGGUGAUGGCUUACCAAGGCUUUGACGGGUAGCCGGCCUGAGAGGGUGGGCGGGCACACUGGGACUGGGAUACGGCCCAGACUCCUACGGGAGGCAGCAGUGGGGAAUAUUGCACAAUGGACGAAAGUUUGAUGCAGCGACGCCGCGUGGAGGGUGUAGGCCUUCGGGUUGUGAACUCCCUUUUCUCGCGAAAAAGGCACAGUUUUGGCUGUGUUGAUGGUAGUGGGGGAAGAAGCGCCGGCUAACUACGUG
This 483-nucleotide ribosomal RNA is filed under the name uncultured bacterium. RNAcentral's name for it is "partial 16S ribosomal RNA". It matches the Rfam family "Bacterial small subunit ribosomal RNA", at positions 28 to 507 of the family's 1533-position model. The record is from RNAcentral.